UGAUGAUGGUGAGGACAACUGAUGAGUAGAUAUUUAAACAUAUCCUAUGCUUGAUAUAAAUUCUCUCUCAAUUUUUGUUCAAAGCUUAGGAUUUCGCUUCUCAACUU
Molecule: small nucleolar RNA, 107 nt
Organism: Solanum dulcamara
Lineage: Eukaryota; Viridiplantae; Streptophyta; Magnoliopsida; Solanales; Solanaceae
Source: RefSeq, a predicted model, not a curated record